UAGAUUUUUAAGGGUGUUUUUGCUGUUCCAAUUACAGAUGAAUAAGAUUUCUACAUUAUUAAUAGGACGAACACUCUUGGGAACCUGUGGCCAUCGAAAAUGAUCGUGGUGAAACAGGAAAACGCUUCAGAACAGAAGCCUCAGUCCGAGCCAGUCGGGUUCAGUGGCCUCGCGGAUGUGGUAGUAUCCUAACAUGGUCCAGGCUGGGCACCGAUUAUUUUUUCCCCCGCAGAAAGGUGUUGCUUGAGUCUCGCCUUCGCACUCCGAGGACACUUUGAAUUCAUGAUGCUUUAAGUGUUCCUGGUCUUCGUCAGCCUUCGUGACUCUCCAUGCUCGCAGCGUCCUCCUCUGCUCCUUGUUACAACACCACUUGUGCAUUGUUGCCAGGAUGCUGAACCGCAGCCCAGUGUUGAAAUGCAUCAUUUGAAGCCAAAGCAACCUGCUGUUCUGUGGUAUUCUGAAUCCAAGGCAGAGCACGGCAAUGAGUGCCAGAAGUGUAAUGAAGAACAGUACCCCGAAGGUGAUGGCCAUCUCCCGCACGGUCUUGGCUGGCAAAGGGAGCAAGUCACAGUUUAGAGCAAGGUAGGACAACAAUGAAAAAAAAAAA
Molecule: long non-coding RNA, 607 nt
Organism: Scylla paramamosain (green mud crab)
Lineage: Eukaryota; Metazoa; Arthropoda; Malacostraca; Decapoda; Portunidae
Exons: 4
Source: RefSeq, a predicted model, not a curated record